RNAcentral lists this ribosomal RNA (253 nucleotides) under uncultured bacterium. RNAcentral describes it as "partial 16S ribosomal RNA". It matches the Rfam family "Bacterial small subunit ribosomal RNA", at positions 524 to 776 of the family's 1533-position model. The record is from RNAcentral.
UACGGAGGAUGCGAGCGUUAUCCGGAUUUAUUGGGUUUAAAGGGUGCGUAGGCGGCCUGUUAAGUCAGCGGUGAAAUCUAGGAGCUUAACUCCUAAAUUGCCAUUGAUACUGGCGGGCUUGAGUGUAGAUGAGGUAGGCGGAAUGCGUGGUGUAGCGGUGGAAUGCAUAGAUAUCACGCAGAACUCCAAUUGCGAAGGCAGCUUACUAAGGUACAACUGACGCUGAAGCACGAAAGCGUGGGUAUCAAACAGG